This 460-nucleotide ribosomal RNA is filed under the name uncultured bacterium. RNAcentral's name for it is "bacterial SSU rRNA". It matches the Rfam family "Bacterial small subunit ribosomal RNA", at positions 338 to 795 of the family's 1533-position model. The record is from RNAcentral.
CCUACGGGGGGCAGCAGUGAGGAAUAUUGGACAAUGGGCGCAAGCCUGAUCCAGCCAUGCCGCGUGCAGGAAGACGCAUCUAUGGUGUGUAAACUGCUUUUGUACGGGAAGAAACACUCCUUCGUGAAGGAGCUUGACGGUACCGUAAGAAUAAGGAUCGGCUAACUCCGUGCCAGCAGCCGCGGUAAUACGGAGGAUCCAAGCGUUAUCCGGAAUCAUUGGGUUUAAAGGGUCCGUAGGCGGUUUGAUAAGUCAGUGGUGAAAGCCCAUCGCUCAACGAUGGAACGGCCAUUGAUACUGUCAGACUUGAAUUAUUGUGAAGUAACUAGAAUAUGUAGUGUAGCGGUGAAAUGCUUAGAUAUUACAUGGAAUACCAAUUGCGAAGGCAGGUUACUAACAAUAUAUUGACGCUGAUGGACGAAAGCGUGGGGAGCGAACAGGAUUAGAUACCCCAGUAGUC